RNAcentral lists this ribosomal RNA (505 nucleotides) under Panorpodes paradoxus. Its description in RNAcentral is "partial 28S rRNA". The record is from RNAcentral. Lineage: Eukaryota; Metazoa; Arthropoda; Insecta; Mecoptera; Panorpodidae.
AAACCUGAGAAACCCGAAAGUUCGAAUGAAAAGAUUCAAUAUUCUUCAAUUGGUUGUACAUUUACUUAUGUGAUUAUGUGAUAGUUUUAUGUUAAUUUCUUUAUCCUUUACUGGAUUUUGAAUGUACAUAUAUUCUACACCACUUUGUUUAUGAACUAAAUACAACUAUGAAGGUAUGCACUUCUUUUCUAGUAGGACGUUGCGACCCAUUGAAUGUUAAUCUACGGCUACUCGUUAGAGCCUAUUCCUAUUUUACUUAAUUGUAUUUAUGGGAAAUAGAUUUCUGAGUGUGUCCCGAAUAACUGUUCGAUGGUAUUUAUAAAACCAUAAUAUUGGAUCGCCACUUUGUCUGGGCAUUUGGUAUUCAUUCAAGUAUGUAAGGUAAUUUGAAUGUCAGGGGCUCUUGUACUGGCUUUGAAUCCUAACUACUGUUCGAGUGAAAUUUACUAUCAAAUAGUAUCCUUUUAUUGGUCAGCAACGCUGUUGCUUUGGGUACUUUCAGGAC